Molecule: ribosomal RNA, 450 nt
Filed under: uncultured bacterium
Lineage: Bacteria
Description: bacterial SSU rRNA
Rfam family: Bacterial small subunit ribosomal RNA
Source: RNAcentral
GUGGGGAAUAUUGGACAAUGGGCGAAAGCCUGAUCCAGCCAUGCCGCGUGUGUGAAGAAGGUCUUCGGAUUGUAAAGCACUUUAAGUUGGGAGGAAGGGCAGUAAGUUAAUACCUUGCUGUUUUGACGUUACCGACAGAAUAAGCACCGGCUAACUUCGUGCCAGCAGCCGCGGUAAUACGAAGGGUGCAAGCGUUAAUCGGAAUUACUGGGCGUAAAGCGCGCGUAGGUGGUUUUGUAAGUUGGAGGUGAAAUCCCCGAGCUCAACCUGGGAACUGCCUCCAAAACUGCAUGACUAGAGUACGGUAGAGGGUAGUGGAAUUUCCUGUGUAGCGGUGAAAUGCGUAGAUAUAGGAAGGAACACCAGUGGCGAAGGCGACUACCUGGACUGAUACUGACACUGAGGUGCGAAAGCGUGGGGAGCAAACAGGAUUAGAAACCCCAGUAGUCC